GCGUGAAGUAAUGUGAAUUGCAGGACACAUUGAACAUCGAUAUCUUGAACGCAUAUUGCGGCCUCGGGUAUUCCCGAGGCCACGCCUGUCUCAGGGUCGGUUGAACGUAUCUAUCGCGAGUUGUCUCUUGCUCGCGCGGUGGAUCGUCGCGGCACGCCGUCCGCAAGUCUGCGGUGGCGAGUCACGUCGUCCGAAAUUCAGACGGUUUGCACAUGGCGAAACCGCACGUCUCGAUUCCGACGAACACAGUACGCGGGACGGUUGCUCGGAUGCAUUAUCUUUGCUGUACCGUCGUCGCCGUGCUCGUUCGUUGGAUGUGUGCGAAAGUAGUCGUGCUCACGAAGUAUCGAUCGAUAGACUGACUCUUCGCGGAGUUGUCUUCAUCGUCUUCGACCUGAGAUCAGACGAGAUUACCCGCUGAAU
RNAcentral lists this unclassified non-coding RNA (423 nucleotides) under Nais communis. Its description in RNAcentral is "sequence contains ITS2". The stretch from base 1 to 99 matches the Rfam family "5.8S ribosomal RNA", at positions 55 to 154 of the family's 154-position model. Lineage: Eukaryota; Metazoa; Annelida; Clitellata; Tubificida; Naididae. The record is from RNAcentral.